Molecule: non-coding RNA, 123 nt
Organism: Cajanus cajan (pigeon pea)
Lineage: Eukaryota; Viridiplantae; Streptophyta; Magnoliopsida; Fabales; Fabaceae
Source: Rfam
UUAUACUAACAUGCAUCUGUUUUUCGGUAGUUUAUAUCAUAAGAACUUCACAGUUAAACAUGCUUGACUUUGAGUAAUAUAGGGAUGGGUGACCUUCUGGGAAGUUUCUAAAAAUUGUAUAAU